GAAUCUUGCUCUGUCGCCAGGCUGAAGCGCAGUGGCAAAAUCUCAGAUCACUGCAAUCUCCGCCUCCUGGGUUCAAGCAAUUCUCCCUGCUUCAGCUUCCCAAGUAGUUGGGACUACAGGAAUCUCCUUCAUGAUCUUAUUCAGAAUUAAAAUGGAAUAUGAAGAAAUUUUUCUUCUCCAAAUCCUGCCAGUGUCAACACCAUUCUACUCCAAAGAACUUCCAGUACAAUGUUGAACAGCAGUAGUGAAAGUGGACAACCUUGUCUCAUUCCUGAUCUUAAGGAGGAAGCUUUCAUCUCUCACCACUGAAUAUGAUGUUAGCUGUGAGUACAAACCACAUUAAUUUUAUGCUACACAGGAAAGCCACUUAGGGCUUCUGUUGCAAAUCAGAUCUGUUCCUAAAAGUAGUGCCACUAUAGACAAUGAGGUAAAUUUUCUGGUUAAAGAAAACUUCUAGGGUUCUGGUAAGAUUCCAUUUCUUAGACUGUACUUCAAAGUAUACAGACCGGUGGCUCAAGCCUGUAAUCCCAGCACUUUGGGAGGCCAAGGCGGGUGGAUCACGAGGUCGGGAGAUCAAGACCACCCUGGUCAACAUGGUGAAACGCUGUCUCUACUGAAAAUACAAAAAAAUUAGCCGGGCAUGGUGGCGUGUGCCUGUAAUCCCAGCUACUCAGGAGGCUGAGGCAGGAGAAUUGCCUGAACCCAGGAGGCGGAGGUUGCGGUGAGCGAAGAUCACACCAUUGCACUCCAGCCUGGGUAACAAGAGCGAAACUCUGUCUAAAAAAAAAGUAUACAGA
Callithrix jacchus (white-tufted-ear marmoset) is the source of this 797-nucleotide long non-coding RNA. RefSeq lists it as uncharacterized. The record is from RefSeq and is a predicted model, not a curated record. NCBI's taxonomy places the organism in Eukaryota, Metazoa, Chordata, Mammalia, Primates, Cebidae.